GAGCUGCCUCCACUGUAUGUCCUUGAGUGUGGCCAAGUGUUCUUAACUCCCCUCACCAUGCACACAUGAUCACAACUGUUUCCCCCAGGAAGCAAUAAGAGAAAUAGAUCUCCACGCACAUAAAACCAUUUAUCCCACAUGUGGAACUGGCCUUCUCUGCUGCAAUGACAAACUGCAAUGAUCUACAAUGAGAAAAUCCUAGUUACAUUUCAGUGAACUGAAGCCAAACGUCUUUGAGUAAUGAAACAAGGAGCAGAAGGGUGGAUAUGGAGAAAAAGUAUAGCAACUCAUAUAACGAUGUGACUCUUCAGCUUAAAGUUUACAAUCUGGUCAAAGAGAUGGACUCCACAUGAGGUGCUCGUAUCAACCUAAAGAAAAGGGUAUUUUGUAGAACUUGACAUGGCAAUUCUAAAAUGAACAUCAAAGAACGCAAGAAUAACCAAGGCAUUUUUUAAGAAGAAGAGGAAGAUACCAGAUAUUAGGGCUUAUUACUAAGACAUGUAGCACCCAUCAUUAAUUCCACCUUCUGAGCACCACGAGCACACUCCAUAUAGAUCUGAUCAGGGAAGGAGGAGGAAUAAAGGACCCCCUGAGAUGGAGUCCUGGAAUUGGAGAGGUCUGAGAAUCUAAAAGAAAGACAAAACUAUCUCAAGGUAAUAAACUUGCCUGUACUUCAAGCAACUAAAAAAUACGAGAACUAAAUUCAAUACGGUCUCCAUUUCACAAAAACAACACGUGGCCAUAGCUAUACUUUCCUCUGGCAUUCGAGGAUGUGGGAAAUUUCUCUUGUGUUUGUUGAUCAGAGCUGGCAGUUGGAGAAGAAUUCUCUCAAUGGUGGAUAAGGGUUAAAUAAUCCUGGUUGCCGGAGUUUCUGAUUAUUGCACACGGAAGUUCUGCUUUACCUUCAACCACAGUUUUGCCUUCACUGGCCGUCUUAAUUACAUAUUCAAAGUAAGAUGAGCAACACUGAGGUUGGGCCUCACUUAGCUAAUGAGAUUGGACUGAAUCAUGGCCCAGGCACCUCAACUUUCCCUUUUCCAACGAGAUGCAGUAGUAACAGGGCUGUCACUGUGGGUGCUGGGACGAAGGAUGAUCCCUAAGAGAGCUCUCUGGAUCCCUAAAACAGCCACAUCUACACGCAUUUGAAGAAGCUUGCAUUCUUUGAUCUCAUUUGUUUACACUUCUCAGUGGGAUUUGAUUUGAAGGAAAAAGUUCUGCUGCUUCAAAUUUUUUAAAUGUUCUUCAAAACAUUCUGGGCCAAAAUGUGGCAUAUCAUUAAUACUUACGUAACUUUUUUUUUUUAACCUGAAUCUUCUUUCAGUACAUAUGACUCUUC
Long non-coding RNA from Canis lupus familiaris (dog), 1336 nucleotides. RefSeq lists it as uncharacterized. The transcript has 9 exons. The record is from RefSeq and is a predicted model, not a curated record. Lineage: Eukaryota; Metazoa; Chordata; Mammalia; Carnivora; Canidae.